UAACACGGAGGGUGCGAGCGUUGUCCGGAUUUACUGGGCGUAAAGCGCGCGUAGGCGGUUUUGUAAGUCAUCUGUGAAAUCCCGGGGCUCAACUCCGGGGCUGCAGGUGAUACUGUAGAACUAGAGCUCGGUAGAGGCAAGCGGAAUUCCCGGUGUAGCGGUGGAAUGCGUAGAUAUCGGGAAGAACACCAGUGGCGAAGGCGGCUUGCUGGGCCGAAGCUGACGCUGAGGCGCGAAAGCGUGGGGAGCAAACAGGAUUAGAUACCCUGGUAGUCCACGCCGUAAACGAUGGGUACUAGGUGUCGGGGGGAGCGACCCCUUCGGUGCCGUCGCUAACGCACUAAGUACCCCGCCUGGGGAGUACGGCCGCAAGGCUG
This 377-nucleotide ribosomal RNA is filed under the name uncultured Gemmatimonadota bacterium. RNAcentral describes it as "bacterial SSU rRNA". It matches the Rfam family "Bacterial small subunit ribosomal RNA", at positions 521 to 896 of the family's 1533-position model. The record is from RNAcentral. Lineage: Bacteria; Pseudomonadati; Gemmatimonadota.